This 520-nucleotide ribosomal RNA is filed under the name uncultured prokaryote. Its description in RNAcentral is "bacterial SSU rRNA". It matches the Rfam family "Bacterial small subunit ribosomal RNA", at positions 26 to 523 of the family's 1533-position model. The record is from RNAcentral.
AGAUUGAACGCUGGCGGCGUGCCUAACACAUGCAAGUCGAACGAGAAAGCCUGGCUUGCCAGGCAAGUAAAGUGGCGCACGGGUGAGUAACGCGUGGGUAAUCUACCUUCGUCUGGGGGAUAACCUACCGAAAGUGGGCUAAUACCGCAUGACGUGAUCGGGUUGCGACCUGAUCACCAAAGAUAGCCUCUCCCUGGAAGCUAUCGGGUGAAGAUGAGCCCGCGUCCCAUUAGCUAGUUGGUAAGGUAACGGCUUACCAAGGCUACGAUGGGUAGCUGGUCUGAGAGGAUGGCCAGCCACACUGGAACUGGAACACGGUCCAGACUCCUACGGGAGGCAGCAGUGAGGAAUCUUGCGCAAUGGGGGCAACCCUGACGCAGCAACGCCGCGUGAGUGAAGAAGGCCUUCGGGUCGUAAAGCUCUGUCAAGUGGGAAGAAUAGCCUUAGGGUUAAUAGCCUUAGGGUAUGACUGUACCACUGGAGGAAGCACCGGCUAACUCCGUGCCAGCAGCCGCGGUAA